Long non-coding RNA from Anolis carolinensis (green anole), 693 nucleotides. RefSeq lists it as uncharacterized. Lineage: Eukaryota; Metazoa; Chordata; Lepidosauria; Squamata; Anolidae. The transcript has 2 exons. The record is from RefSeq and is a predicted model, not a curated record.
GAGCCAUAAGGAUUAGAAUACAGGAACACAGAUCACGAAUUAGAAAAGGAAACACAGAAUCCACACUAUACUUACACUUUAAAGACAACACUCAUUCCUGUAACGACCUUAAGUACCUUGCCUUAGAAAAACUACAGACUCCAAUUAACACUGACAUCAAGAAGUUACUCCUCUGCAGGGAGGCUUUUUGGAUCCACAAAUUGAAGACCUUAACCCCACAAGGCCUAAAUGAUAGGCUAGAUCUCACCUGCUUCUUAUAAUGGGAUAAAAAAAUACUUAAGUCUUUACAGAACUACUACUGAAUGCUCGCAACUUGAGGUAGAAUACUACAUGUAAGGAUCCUCCAAGGACAUAAAUAAGACAGCAGAGCAGCAAACAGAGGGAACUCCAGGAUUACCUGAAGAAGGUCUACCUGAAGAAGGUCACCGAAACUGGAUGCAUACCCGGGAGACCAGUCGUUACUAUUGACAUGGAACUUUGUUGCUAUUGAUAUGGAACUUUGAUUUACUAUUGACAUGGAACUUUGAUUUACUUUGAAUGAUCGAAUUUGAAGAAGAGUACUACAAACCUUGAGAACACUAUCAAGAUUAUAUUUGUUAAAAUUGGACAUUGAAAUAUGUACUUAUCUGUACAGUUGGAAUAUAUAAAUUGAUAUUACAGUCAUAAUAUAUGUGAUUAUAUCACUUGAGGAAA